Molecule: long non-coding RNA, 231 nt
Filed under: Elaeis guineensis (African oil palm)
Lineage: Eukaryota; Viridiplantae; Streptophyta; Magnoliopsida; Arecales; Arecaceae
Description: long non-coding RNA (EGUI_LNC081542)
Source: RNAcentral
UUAGACCUUAUGUUAAAGUACAUAAUAUGCACUAGAGUCUAAUGAAAAAAAAAAAUUGUAAGAUUAAUUUUGAGCAAUUCGACAUACCUUUCAAAGAUAUGUAAAUAUUUCUUUUAGAUUCUUCAGGUAUGUAUCUCUGAAUUUUUUAAGGUCCCUUAGUUACCAGCAUAUCGACCAAUUCAGUUAAGGUACUAUAAUAUUUAUUCAUAUAAUAAUUUCACAAACUAUCCG